AGUUUGGGUGGCUCGGGGAAUCUGGUGGCGCCGCUGGCGGCAACGUGGAUUUACAGGGGCGGCUCGCGUCCCCUUCGUAGCUCGGACGGGACGGGGGACACGGGUUGGAUCGCAGCCGACGUGUUUGGUAAUUUUGUACUGCGGGUACAGCCGCGCUCUGCUUUUAUAUCUGCGCCGGCGUUCCUGGCUAGAAUUGGGACUCCAGGAACCCAUCCGAGUCCGGGGCAAACAUCAGCUUUUGGUUAGAAGUUGUGC
RNAcentral lists this long non-coding RNA (255 nucleotides) under Hordeum vulgare. RNAcentral's name for it is "long non-coding RNA (HVUL_LNC016466)". The record is from RNAcentral. Lineage: Eukaryota; Viridiplantae; Streptophyta; Magnoliopsida; Poales; Poaceae.